UGGGGAAUUUUGGACAAUGGGGGAAACCCUGAUCCAGCCAUCCCGCGUGUGCGAUGAAGGCCUUCGGGUUGUAAAGCACUUUUGGCAGGAAAGAAACGUCAUGGGUUAAUACCCCGUGAAACUGACGGUACCUGCAGAAUAAGCACCGGCUAACUACGUGCCAGCAGCCGCGGUAAUACGUAGGGUGCAAGCGUUAAUCGGAAUUACUGGGCGUAAAGCGUGCGCAGGCGGUUCGGAAAGAAAGAUGUGAAAUCCCAGAGCUCAACUUUGGAACUGCCUUUUUAACUACCGGGCUAGAGUGUGUCAGAGGGGGGUGGAAUUCCGCGUGUAGCAGUGAAAUGCGUAGAUAUGCGGAGGAACACCGAUGGCGAAGGCAGCCUCCUGGGAUAACACUGACGCUCAUGCACGAAAGCGUGGGGAGCAAACAGG
RNAcentral lists this ribosomal RNA (429 nucleotides) under Acidobacteriota bacterium. Its description in RNAcentral is "Acidobacteria bacterium partial 16S ribosomal RNA". It matches the Rfam family "Bacterial small subunit ribosomal RNA", at positions 355 to 776 of the family's 1533-position model. The record is from RNAcentral. Lineage: Bacteria; Pseudomonadati; Acidobacteriota.